Molecule: ribosomal RNA, 496 nt
Filed under: uncultured bacterium
Lineage: Bacteria
Description: partial 16S ribosomal RNA
Rfam family: Bacterial small subunit ribosomal RNA
Source: RNAcentral
GAUGAACGCUGGCGGCGUGCCUAAUACAUGCAAGUCGAGCGAACAGACGAGGAGCUUGCUCCUCUGACGUUAGCGGCGGACGGGUGAGUAACACGUGGAUAACCUACCUAUAAGACUGGGAUAACUUCGGGAAACCGGAGCUAAUACCGGAUAAUAUAUUGAACCGCAUGGUUCAAUAGUGAAAGACGGUUUUGCUGUCACUUAUAGAUGGAUCCGCGCCGCAUUAGCUAGUUGGUAAGGUAACGGCUUACCAAGGCAACGAUGCGUAGCCGACCUGAGAGGUGGUUCGGCCACCCGGAACCGAGGACACGGUCCAACCUCCUACGGAAGCCACCGGUGGGAAUCCUUCGGCAAUGGGCGAAGGCUUACCGAGGAAACGCGGCGGAAGUAAUAAAGGUCUUCGAAUCGUAAACCUUGUUAUUAGGGAAGAACAAAUGUGUAAGUAACUAUGCACGUCUUGACGGUACCUAAUCAGAAAGCCACGGCUAACUACGUG